This 279-nucleotide ribosomal RNA is filed under the name uncultured bacterium. Its description in RNAcentral is "partial 16S ribosomal RNA". It matches the Rfam family "Bacterial small subunit ribosomal RNA", at positions 27 to 319 of the family's 1533-position model. The record is from RNAcentral.
GGACAAACGCUGGCGGCGUACCUAAGACAUGCAAGUCGAACGGGUACGGACCCUUCGGGGUGGCGUGCUAGUGGCGGACGGGUGAGUAACGCGUAGGAACCUAUCGCACAGUGGGGGAUACCACGGGGAAACCGGUGUUAAUACCGCAUGUGGUCAGCAAUGACGAAAGCAGCAAUGCGCUGUGUGCGGGGCCUGCGUCCGAUUAGCUGGUUGGUGGGGUAAGGGCCUACAAGGCGACGAUCGGAGCUGGUCUGAGAGGAUGGUCAGCCACACUGGGAC